Molecule: long non-coding RNA, 903 nt
Filed under: Gallus gallus (chicken)
Lineage: Eukaryota; Metazoa; Chordata; Aves; Galliformes; Phasianidae
Description: lncRNA (ENSGALG00010018735.1)
Source: RNAcentral
CCUGGUUCCACCCCUCCCUAACCCUCAUUUAGGGGCUAGCUGCUACAAAAGAAGGAUCUCUACCCAGGGAUCCCUCCUUUUGAAGUAUUUGGUGAGUUCUGUUUCUUGGCACAGGUAUCAGAUUUCACUGGAAUGACUUGAGUAAGCUUUCACUCAAACUAAGAUUGGGGAUUAGCAACUAUUGGUAUUAUGAAGUAUUUCAGGACAGUGAUGGUACUGAUGUUUUAUCUCUGCUGCAAAGGAUCUCAGGAGUUCAUCAUAGAAUAAUGGAAUGGCCUGAGCUGAAAAGGACCACAAUGAUCAUCCAGGUUCAAACCCCGUGCUAUGUACAGGGUUGCCAACCACCAGACCAGACCGUCCAGAGCCACAUCCAGCCUGGCCUUGAAUGCCUCCAGGGAUGGGGCAUCCACAACCUCCUUGGGCAACCUGUUCUGGUGUGUCACCACCCUCUGUCUAAAAAACUUCCUGCUAAUAUCUCACCUAAACCUCCCCUGUCUCAGUUUAAAACCAUUCCCCCUUGUCUUAUCACUGUCAACCCAUUUAGACAGUUGUUUCUCCUCCAGUUUAUAUGCUCCCUUCAAGUACUGGAAGGAGAUGUCUGAGCUUAUCUUGGUUUAUUCUGAAUUGAGGUUCUUUCUCUGGAGUAACAACUGUUUAGUCAUAGAGGGACAAUUAACAAACUGUGUUUUGGUUUAGUUUAGUUUAUAACGAGCUCCAUCAGGUGCUCAGAAGCCCAUCCAGCCUGGCCUUGAGUUUCUCUAGGGAUCUAUCACCUUUCUGGUCAACCUGUGCAGUGCUUCCCCACAAAAAAAAAAAAACCUUUUUCAUGACUAACCUUUUUGUUACAUCCAAUCUAAACUUCCCCUUUUAGUUUUAAACCAUUUCCCCUUCACACCAGAUCAU